GGGUGACUAGUCUAGUGGUCAGGACGCUUCGUUGUGGCUGCACAACGUUCCGAAGAAACCCCGGUUCGAUUCCGGGGUCGCCCA
This is a non-coding RNA of Trichocladium antarcticum, 84 nucleotides long. NCBI's taxonomy places the organism in Eukaryota, Fungi, Ascomycota, Sordariomycetes, Sordariales, Chaetomiaceae. The record is from the annotation of a GenBank genome assembly.